This 73-nucleotide transfer RNA is filed under the name Actinomycetota bacterium. RNAcentral describes it as "tRNA-Arg". It matches the Rfam family "tRNA". From Rfam's summary of the family: Transfer RNA (tRNA) molecules are approximately 80 nucleotides in length. Their secondary structure includes four short double-helical elements and three loops (D, anti-codon, and T loops). Lineage: Bacteria; Bacillati; Actinomycetota. The record is from RNAcentral.
GCGCCCGUAGCUCAGCGGAUAGAGCGAUGGACUUCUAAUCCAUUGGUCGCAGGUUCGAUCCCUGCCGGGCGCG